CAUUGUUUGGUAGAGAUGUUUGGAGCGAGAGAUGGGAAAAUGGGUUUUUGUUAUUACACUUUUCUCUCCCUCGUUCCAUACAUCAUCUAGCGAACAUGGU
Molecule: microRNA precursor, 100 nt
Organism: Lupinus angustifolius (narrow-leaved blue lupine)
Lineage: Eukaryota; Viridiplantae; Streptophyta; Magnoliopsida; Fabales; Fabaceae
Rfam family: MIR1507 microRNA precursor family
Source: Rfam